CAGAGGUCCCGAGCGUUGUUCGGAUUCACUGGGCGUAAGGGUGCGUAGGUGGCAUGGUAAGUUUGAUGUGAAAGCUCAGGGCUCAACCCUGAAAUGGCAUUGAAUACUACUGUGCUGGAGGUUUGGAGGGGGGACUGGAAUUCUUGGUGUAGCAGUGAAAUGCGUAGAUAUCAAGAGGAACACCAGUGGCGAAGGCGAGUCCCUGGACAACACCUGACACUGAGGCACGAAAGCUAGGGGAGCAAACAGGAUUAGAUACCCUGGUAGUCCUAGCCCUAAACGGUGCGCAUUUGCUGUAGGAGGAAUCGACCCCUUCUGUGGCGAAGCUAACGCGAUAAAUGCGCCGCCGGGGGAGUGCGGUCGCAAGAUUA
This 371-nucleotide ribosomal RNA is filed under the name uncultured organism. Its description in RNAcentral is "bacterial SSU rRNA". It matches the Rfam family "Bacterial small subunit ribosomal RNA", at positions 526 to 896 of the family's 1533-position model. The record is from RNAcentral.